CAGUAGGGAAUCUUCGGCAAUGGGGGCAACCCUGACCGAGCAACGCCGCGUGAGUGAAGAAGGUUUUCAGAUCGUAAAGCUCUGUUGUAAGAGAAGAACGUGUGUGAGAGUGGAAAGUUCACACAGUGACGGUAACUUACCAGAAAGGGACGGCUAACUACGUGCCAG
Molecule: ribosomal RNA, 168 nt
Filed under: uncultured bacterium
Lineage: Bacteria
Description: partial 16S rRNA
Rfam family: Bacterial small subunit ribosomal RNA
Source: RNAcentral